Molecule: long non-coding RNA, 336 nt
Organism: Triticum aestivum (bread wheat)
Lineage: Eukaryota; Viridiplantae; Streptophyta; Magnoliopsida; Poales; Poaceae
Exons: 2
Source: RefSeq, a predicted model, not a curated record
GGAUGCCAAAGUGGCAGGAGGUCCCUCAUGGCAGCAGCCGAACUCCGCUCCGCCGGUUUCACUGGCGUGACCGACAUCGCCGGAGGGUUUUUGGCUUGGAAGGAGAACGAGCUGCCGAUCAACCAGUGAUGUCGUCAACUUCUCUGAAUGUGUCUCAAACAUUAUAUAAUCUGUCUUUAGGCGCGCUGCUCUGCUCCAAGGUUGUAACCGGUAUGGUCGUCUUGAUCUCGGAUUCAAGACGGCACGAAUAGUUAAUGGAGCUUCAUAUAAUUGUUCUAGGAUAUGUGCAAAAUGUUGGCACAAUUAGAGAUUAUGAGCCUGUUCAGUUUUCCUUUC